This 169-nucleotide ribosomal RNA is filed under the name Scorpaenodes evides (cheekspot scorpionfish). Its description in RNAcentral is "partial 12S rRNA". The record is from RNAcentral. Lineage: Eukaryota; Metazoa; Chordata; Actinopteri; Perciformes; Scorpaenidae.
CACCGCGGUUAAACGAGAGGCCCAAGUUGUUAUCCUCCGGCGUAAAGAGUGGUUAAGGACUAAUUACUACUAAAGCCGCACACCUUCAAAGCUGUUAUACGCCCCCGAAGAGUAGAAGCCCAACCACGAAGGUAGCUUUAUUACCCCUGACCCCACGAGAGCUCUGGCA